Molecule: ribosomal RNA, 2902 nt
Filed under: Escherichia coli
Lineage: Bacteria; Pseudomonadati; Pseudomonadota; Gammaproteobacteria; Enterobacterales; Enterobacteriaceae
Description: bacterial LSU rRNA
Rfam family: Bacterial large subunit ribosomal RNA
Source: RNAcentral
UUAAGCGACUAAGCGUACACGGUGGAUGCCCUGGCAGUCAGAGGCGAUGAAGGACGUGCUAAUCUGCGAUAAGCGUCGGUGAGGUGAUAUGAACCGUUAUAACCGGCGAUUUCCGAAUGGGGAAACCCAGUGUGUUUCGACACACUAUCAUUAACUGAAUCCAUAGGUUAAUGAGGCGAACCGGGGGAACUGAAACAUCUAAGUACCCCGAGGAAAAGAAAUCAACCGAGAUUCCCCCAGUAGCGGCGAGCGAACGGGGAGGAGCCCAGAGCCUGAAUCAGUGUGUGUGUUAGUGGAAGCGUCUGGAAAGGCGCGCGAUACAGGGUGACAGCCCCGUACACAAAAAUGCACAUGCUGUGAGCUCGAUGAGUAGGGCGGGACACGUGGUAUCCUGUCUGAAUAUGGGGGGACCAUCCUCCAAGGCUAAAUACUCCUGACUGACCGAUAGUGAACCAGUACCGUGAGGGAAAGGCGAAAAGAACCCCGGCGAGGGGAGUGAAAAAGAACCUGAAACCGUGUACGUACAAGCAGUGGGAGCCUCUUAAUGGGGUGACUGCGUACCUUUUGUAUAAUGGGUCAGCGACUUAUAUUCUGUAGCAAGGUUAACCGAAUAGGGGAGCCGAAGGGAAACCGAGUCUUAACUGGGCGUUAAGUUGCAGGGUAUAGACCCGAAACCCGGUGAUCUAGCCAUGGGCAGGUUGAAGGUUGGGUAACACUAACUGGAGGACCGAACCGACUAAUGUUGAAAAAUUAGCGGAUGACUUGUGGCUGGGGGUGAAAGGCCAAUCAAACCGGGAGAUAGCUGGUUCUCCCCGAAAGCUAUUUAGGUAGCGCCUCGUGAAUUCAUCUCCGGGGGUAGAGCACUGUUUCGGCAAGGGGGUCAUCCCGACUUACCAACCCGAUGCAAACUGCGAAUACCGGAGAAUGUUAUCACGGGAGACACACGGCGGGUGCUAACGUCCGUCGUGAAGAGGGAAACAACCCAGACCGCCAGCUAAGGUCCCAAAGUCAUGGUUAAGUGGGAAACGAUGUGGGAAGGCCCAGACAGCCAGGAUGUUGGCUUAGAAGCAGCCAUCAUUUAAAGAAAGCGUAAUAGCUCACUGGUCGAGUCGGCCUGCGCGGAAGAUGUAACGGGGCUAAACCAUGCACCGAAGCUGCGGCAGCGACACUAUGUGUUGUUGGGUAGGGGAGCGUUCUGUAAGCCUGUGAAGGUGGCCUGUGAGGGUUGCUGGAGGUAUCAGAAGUGCGAAUGCUGACAUAAGUAACGAUAAAGCGGGUGAAAAGCCCGCUCGCCGGAAGACCAAGGGUUCCUGUCCAACGUUAAUCGGGGCAGGUUGAGUCGACCCCUAAGGCGAGGCCGAAAGGCGUAGUCGAUGGGAAACAGGUUAAUAUUCCUGUACUUGGUGUUACUGCGAAGGGGGGACGGAGAAGGCUAUGUUGGCCGGGCGACGGUUGUCCCGGUUUAAGCGUGUAGGCUGGUUUUCCAGGCAAAUCCGGAAAACCAAGGCUGAGGCGUGAUGACGAGGCACUACGGUGCUGAAGUGACAAAUGCCCUGCUUCCAGGAAAAGCCUCUAAGCAUCAGGUAACAUCAAAUCGUACCCCAAACCGACACAGGUGGUCAGGUAGAGAAUACCAAGGCGCUUGAGAGAACUCGGGUGAAGGAACUAGGCAAAAUGGUGCCGUAACUUCGGGAGAAGGCACGCUGAUAUGUAGGUGAAGCGACUUGCUCGUGGAGCUGAAAUCAGUCGAAGAUACCAGCUGGCUGCAACUGUUUAUUAAAAACACAGCACUGUGCAAACACGAAAGUGGACGUAUACGGUGUGACGCCUGCCCGGUGCCGGAAGGUUAAUUGAUGGGGUUAGCGGUAACGCGAAGCUCUUGAUCGAAGCCCCGGUAAACGGCGGCCGUAACUAUAACGGUCCUAAGGUAGCGAAAUUCCUUGUCGGGUAAGUUCCGACCUGCACGAAUGGCGUAAUGAUGGCCAGGCUGUCUCCACCCGAGACUCAGUGAAAUUGAACUCGCUGUGAAGAUGCAGUGUACCCGCGGCAAGACGGAAAGACCCCGUGAACCUUUACUAUAGCUUGACACUGAACAUUGAGCCUUGAUGUGUAGGAUAGGUGGGAGGCUUUGAAGUGUGGACGCCAGUCUGCAUGGAGCCGACCUUGAAAUACCACCCUUUAAUGUUUGAUGUUCUAACGUUGGCCCCUAAUCGGGGUUGCGGACAGUGUCUGGUGGGUAGUUUGACUGGGGCGGUCUCCUCCUAAAGAGUAACGGAGGAGCACGAAGGUUGGCUAAUCCUGGUCGGACAUCAGGAGGUUAGUGCAAUGGCAUAAGCCAGCUUGACUGCGAGCGUGACGGCGCGAGCAGGUGCGAAAGCAGGUCAUAGUGAUCCGGUGGUUCUGAAUGGAAGGGCCAUCGCUCAACGGAUAAAAGGUACUCCGGGGAUAACAGGCUGAUACCGCCCAAGAGUUCAUAUCGACGGCGGUGUUUGGCACCUCGAUGUCGGCUCAUCACAUCCUGGGGCUGAAGUAGGUCCCAAGGGUAUGGCUGUUCGCCAUUUAAAGUGGUACGCGAGCUGGGUUUAGAACGUCGUGAGACAGUUCGGUCCCUAUCUGCCGUGGGCGCUGGAGAACUGAGGGGGGCUGCUCCUAGUACGAGAGGACCGGAGUGGACGCAUCACUGGUGUUCGGGUUGUCAUGCCAAUGGCACUGCCCGGUAGCUAAAUGCGGAAGAGAUAAGUGCUGAAAGCAUCUAAGCACGAAACUUGCCCCGAGAUGAGUUCUCCCUGAGACUUAGAGUCUCCUGAAGGAACGUUGAAGACGACGACGUUGAUAGGCCGGGUGUGUAAGCGCAGCGAUGCGUUGAGCUAACCGGUACUAAUGAACCGUGAGGCUUAACCUU